AAAAAAUGAGCAAACGGCAUUUUUUAAACUUGAAGAUGACAAAUUAUUAACUUUCAAGUUUCAUUGUUUCUUGGUGAACCUCUGUUUGUUGUUUGUGACUGAAGGUUCAGUAAAUGAUGAAACAUUA
This is a small nucleolar RNA of Quercus robur (English oak), 127 nucleotides long. RefSeq annotates it as small nucleolar RNA snoR74. Lineage: Eukaryota; Viridiplantae; Streptophyta; Magnoliopsida; Fagales; Fagaceae. The transcript has a single exon. The record is from RefSeq and is a predicted model, not a curated record.